This 63-nucleotide transfer RNA is filed under the name Atkinsoniella yunnanana. Its description in RNAcentral is "tRNA-Cys". Lineage: Eukaryota; Metazoa; Arthropoda; Insecta; Hemiptera; Cicadellidae. The record is from RNAcentral.
AAUCUUAUAGUUUAAUUUAAAACAUUAAAUUGCAAAUUUAAUAUUGAUCCUUAUCUAAGAUUU